This 860-nucleotide ribosomal RNA is filed under the name Bacillus subtilis. RNAcentral describes it as "bacterial SSU rRNA". It matches the Rfam family "Bacterial small subunit ribosomal RNA", at positions 69 to 912 of the family's 1533-position model. The record is from RNAcentral. Lineage: Bacteria; Bacillati; Bacillota; Bacilli; Caryophanales; Bacillaceae.
AGAUGGGGAGCUUGCUCCCUGAUGUUAGCGGCGGACGGGUGAGUAACACGUGGGUAACCUGCCUGUAAGACUGGGAUAACUCCGGGAAACCGGGGCUAAUACCGGAUGGUUGUUUGAACCGCAUGGUUCAAACAUAAAAGGUGGCUUCGGCUACCACUUACAGAUGGACCCGCGGCGCAUUAGCUAGUUGGUGAGGUAACGGCUCACCAAGGCAACGAUGCGUAGCCGACCUGAGAGGGUGAUCGGCCACACUGGGACUGAGACACGGCCCAGACUCCUACGGGAGGCAGCAGUAGGGAAUCUUCCGCAAUGGACGAAAGUCUGACGGAGCAACGCCGCGUGAGUGAUGAAGGUUUUCGGAUCGUAAAGCUCUGUUGUUAGGGAAGAACAAGUACCGUUCGAAUAGGGCGGUACCUUGACGGUACCUAACCAGAAAGCCACGGCUAACUACGUGCCAGCAGCCGCGGUAAUACGUAGGUGGCAAGCGUUGUCCGGAAUUAUUGGGCGUAAAGGGCUCGCAGGCGGUUUCUUAAGUCUGAUGUGAAAGCCCCCGGCUCAACCGGGGAGGGUCAUUGGAAACUGGGGAACUUGAGUGCAGAAGAGGAGAGUGGAAUUCCACGUGUAGCGGUGAAAUGCGUAGAGAUGUGGAGGAACACCAGUGGCGAAGGCGACUCUCUGGUCUGUAACUGACGCUGAGGAGCGAAAGCGUGGGGAGCGAACAGGAUUAGAUACCCUGGUAGUCCACGCCGUAAACGAUGAGUGCUAAGUGUUAGGGGGUUUCCGCCCCUUAGUGCUGCAGCUAACGCAUUAAGCACUCCGCCUGGGGAGUACGGUCGCAAGACUGAAACUCAAAGGAAUUG